UUUUAUGAGAGUUUGAUCCUGGCUCAGGACGAACGCUGGCGGCGUGCCUAAUACAUGCAAGUAGAACGCUGAAGUCUGGUGCUUGCACUAGACGGAUGAGUUGCGAACGGGUGAGUAACGCGUAGGUAACCUGCCUCAUAGCGGGGGAUAACUAUUGGAAACGAUAGCUAAUACCGCAUAACAGUAUUUACCGCAUGGUAGAUAUUUGAAAGGAGCAAUUGCUUCACUAUGAGAUGGACCUGCGUUGUAUUAGCU
RNAcentral lists this ribosomal RNA (255 nucleotides) under Streptococcus suis. RNAcentral's name for it is "partial 16S ribosomal RNA". It matches the Rfam family "Bacterial small subunit ribosomal RNA", at positions 1 to 246 of the family's 1533-position model. The record is from RNAcentral. Lineage: Bacteria; Bacillati; Bacillota; Bacilli; Lactobacillales; Streptococcaceae.